RNAcentral lists this ribosomal RNA (766 nucleotides) under uncultured Enterobacteriaceae bacterium. RNAcentral describes it as "bacterial SSU rRNA". It matches the Rfam family "Bacterial small subunit ribosomal RNA", at positions 733 to 1502 of the family's 1533-position model. Lineage: Bacteria; Pseudomonadati; Pseudomonadota; Gammaproteobacteria; Enterobacterales; Enterobacteriaceae. The record is from RNAcentral.
GACAGUACUGACGCUGAGAUGCGAAAGCGUGGGGAGCAAACAGGAUUAGAUACCUGGUAGUCCACGCUGUAAACGAUGUCGAUUUGGAGUUUGUUGCCUAGAGUGAUGGGCUCCGAAGCUAACGCGAUAAAUCGACCGCUGGGGAGUACGGCCGCAAGGUUAAAACUCAAAUGAAUUGACGGGGGCCCGCACAGCGGUGGAGCAUGUGGUUUAAUUCGAUGCAACGCGAAGAACCUUACCUGGUCUUGACAUCCAUAGAAUUCUGCAGAGAUGUGGGAGUGCCUUCGGGAACUAUGAGACAGGUGCUGCAUGGCUGUCGUCAGCUCGUGUUGUGAAAUGUUGGGUUAAGUCCCGCAACGAGCGCAACCCUUAUUCUUUGUUGCCAGCGAUUUGGUCGGGAACUCAAAGGAGACUGCCGUUGAUAAAGCGGAGGAAGGUGGGGACGACGUCAAGUCAUCAUGGCCCUUACGACCAGGGCUACACACGUGCUACAAUGGCGUAUACAAAGGGAAGCGAAGGUGCGAGCUGGAGCGGAUCUCAUAAAGUACGUCUAAGUUCGGAUUGGAGUCUGCAACUCGACUCCAUGAAGUCGGAAUCGCUAGUAAUCGUAGAUCAGAAUGCUACGGUGAAUACGUUCCCGGGCCUUGUACACACCGCCCGUCACACCAUGGGAGUGGGUUGCACCAGAAGUAGAUAGCUUAACCGCGAGGGGGGCGUUUACCACGGUGUGAUUCAUGACUGGGGUGAAGUCGUAACAAGGUAACCA